AUACGUAGGUGGCAAGCGUUAUCCGGAUUUACUGGGUGUAAAGGGCGUGUAGGCGGGCCUGCAAGUCAGGUGUGAAAUUCCAGGGCUCAACCCUGGAACUGCACUUGAAACUGUGGGUCUUGAGUGAUGGAGAGGCAGGCGGAAUUCCGCGUGUAGCGGUGAAAUGCGUAGAUAUACGGAGGAACACCAGUGGCGAAGGCGGCCUGCUGACAUUAACUGACGCUGAGGCGCGAAAGCGUGGGGAGCAAACAGGAUUAGAUGCCCUGGUAGUCCACGCUGUAAACGAUGGAUACUAGGUGUGGGGGGUCUGACCCCCUCCGUGCCGCAGUUAACACAAUAAGUAUCCCACCUGGGGAGUACGAUCGCAAGGUUGAAACUCAAAUGAAUUGACGGGG
RNAcentral lists this ribosomal RNA (395 nucleotides) under uncultured bacterium. RNAcentral's name for it is "partial 16S ribosomal RNA". It matches the Rfam family "Bacterial small subunit ribosomal RNA", at positions 523 to 918 of the family's 1533-position model. The record is from RNAcentral.